This 240-nucleotide ribosomal RNA is filed under the name uncultured bacterium. RNAcentral describes it as "partial 16S ribosomal RNA". It matches the Rfam family "Bacterial small subunit ribosomal RNA", at positions 15 to 265 of the family's 1533-position model. The record is from RNAcentral.
GAUAUGGCUCAGGAUGAACGCUGGCGGCGUGCCUAACACAUGCAAGUCGAGCGAUUCUCUUCGGAGAAGAGCGGCGGACGGGUGAGUAACGCGUGGGUAACCUGCCCUGUACACACGGAUAACAUACCGAAAGGUAUGCUAAUACGGGAUAACAUAAGAAAUUCGCAUGUUUUUCUUAUCAAAGCUCCGGCGGUACAGGAUGGACCCGCGUCUGAUUAGCUAGUUGGUGAGGUAAUGGCU